This 254-nucleotide ribosomal RNA is filed under the name uncultured bacterium. Its description in RNAcentral is "partial 16S ribosomal RNA". It matches the Rfam family "Bacterial small subunit ribosomal RNA", at positions 524 to 776 of the family's 1533-position model. The record is from RNAcentral.
UACGGAGGGGGCAAGCGUUGUUCGGAAUUACUGGGCGUAAAGGGCGCGCAGGCGGCUGCUCAAGUCAGGCGUGAAAGGCCUGGGCUCAACCCGGGAAUUGCGCUUGAGACUGGGCUGGCUUGAGUGCGGGAGAGGAUGGUGGAAUUCCCAGUGUAGAGGUGAAAUGCGCAGAUAUCAGGAGGAACACCAAUUGCGAAGGCAGCUCGCUGGGACGUUACUGACGCUGAUGCGCGAAAGCGUGGGGAGCAAACAGG